This 863-nucleotide long non-coding RNA is filed under the name Rattus norvegicus (Norway rat). RNAcentral describes it as "long non-coding RNA NONRATT021796". The record is from RNAcentral. Lineage: Eukaryota; Metazoa; Chordata; Mammalia; Rodentia; Muridae.
GGUUUGUUGCUUGCCAGCAGAAGAGACAAGCUUUCUCUGCUGCCCUUGGGAAGGACACAGCAGUGUCCUGACCAUGUCAAUGAGUCUCAGAAGACCAGGUUUAGUUCUGAGGUUGUGAUCUCAGCUAGAAAACUCCCCCAAGACACCCCCACUGAGGAAGGUGAGCUAGAAAAGUGCAGCUGUAACCCCAACACUUGGAAAGCUAACAGGAAGAUCAGGAGAGCAAGGCUAGCCUAGGCGACUUGGCAAGAAACUGUCAAAGUGAAUAGAUAAACAUUAGAAAAUCUUUCCUGUGUGAAUUGAAGAAGCCCUACUAAGGCUUCAGAAGUGUGGGUUGGCCUUCCCAGUUAUGUUUGAACUAGGCAGGUUUGAACCCAGCCUGAUCUACAUAGUGAAAUCCAGGCCAACCAGAAUUGCAGGGUGUGACCCUGUCUCAAAAAAAAAAAAAAAAAAAAAAAAACCCAAAAACUUAAAUGUAUUCAUUUAGAGUGUGUGUGGUAUAUGCUUGCCACAGUGCACACUGGAGGUCAGAGGGCAGCUUUCAGUGAUUGGUUCUUGUCCCUCCUCACCAUGUGGGGUGCCUCAGGCUUGGCCACAAGGGCCUUUGCUCACUAACCUUCCCACCAGCAGAAAAUCUGUAUUUUUGUUGUUGUUAAGAUUUAUGUUUUUCGGAGCUGGAAAGAUGGCUCAGUGGCCAAGAUCAACAACUCUUCCAGAGAACCCAGGCUCAGUCCUCAGCACCCACAUGGUGGCUCACAAUUGUCUGUAACUCCAGUUCUAGGAGACCUGACACCUUUACACAGACAUACAUGCAAGCAAAACACCAAUGCACAUAAAAUGAAAAUAAAUUAUUUUUAAAGAGA